UACGAAGGGGGCUAGCGUUGUUCGGAAUUACUGGGCGUAAAGCGCGCGCAGGCGGCCUUCCAAGUCAGUGGUGAAAGCCCGGAGCUCAACUCCGGAACUGCCAUUGAAACUGUGAGACUUGAGGAUGAGAGAGGUGAGUGGAAUUCCCAGUGUAGAGGUGAAAUUCGUAGAUAUUGGGAAGAACACCGGUGGCGAAGGCGGCUCACUGGACCAUUACUGACGCUGAGGCACGAAAGCUAGGGGAGCAAACAGG
Molecule: ribosomal RNA, 253 nt
Filed under: uncultured bacterium
Lineage: Bacteria
Description: partial 16S ribosomal RNA
Rfam family: Bacterial small subunit ribosomal RNA
Source: RNAcentral